UCCCUGGUGGCUUAGAGGGUUAAAGCAUCUGCCCGCAAUACAGGAAACCCGGGUUCGAUCCCUGGGUCGGGAA
Molecule: transfer RNA, 73 nt
Filed under: Bos indicus (zebu cattle)
Lineage: Eukaryota; Metazoa; Chordata; Mammalia; Artiodactyla; Bovidae
Also listed under: 1 other name
Rfam family: tRNA
About the family: Transfer RNA (tRNA) molecules are approximately 80 nucleotides in length. Their secondary structure includes four short double-helical elements and three loops (D, anti-codon, and T loops). Further hydrogen bonds mediate the characteristic L-shaped molecular structure. tRNAs have two regions of fundamental functional importance: the anti-codon, which is responsible for specific mRNA codon recognition, and the 3' end, to which the tRNAs corresponding amino acid is attached (by aminoacyl-tRNA synthetases). tRNAs cope with the degeneracy of the genetic code in two manners: having more than one tRNA (with a specific anti-codon) for a particular amino acid; and 'wobble' base-pairing, i.e. permitting non-standard base-pairing at the 3rd anti-codon position.
Source: Rfam by way of RNAcentral